Molecule: ribosomal RNA, 483 nt
Filed under: Triticum aestivum (bread wheat)
Lineage: Eukaryota; Viridiplantae; Streptophyta; Magnoliopsida; Poales; Poaceae
Description: partial small subunit ribosomal RNA
Source: RNAcentral
AUGGCGGCCGCGGGAGAUCCUCUCCAAGGUCAAGCACGUCCAGGCCAAGCCUGCUGGCCGCCCUCGCGGGUGACUGCCUCCGCGGUGACGACGACGGCCUCGUCAUCCCCGGAGACCGCGGCGCCCCUCAAGGCCGACCUCCGCCACAUGAGUGAUCCGUCGAUCUCGUCUCUCCAACCAUUCAGUUCUCGCACGCACGAGUUCGACCUGGACAAGCCGCCGGUGCUGCAGGAGGUGGCGGAUUUCUUCAGUGGCCACGGAAUCGAGGACUUCACCUUCAGCAGGGGCAGGCUGUCAGAAUGGCAGUGCCGGGCAAAGCUAGCGGUAUGCGGAACACCAGAGAAACCACUGAUUGGCCUGUAUCAGGAAUGGACACAUACUGUUCAAGAUAUUCCCGAUUGCGGAGGUAGGACAGGAGGAACAGCGACAAGCGAUGGGAUGAAGCCCGGCCAUGGAAACCCAUCGCAGCCUUCAAGACCUUGA